Molecule: long non-coding RNA, 2079 nt
Organism: Zalophus californianus (California sea lion)
Lineage: Eukaryota; Metazoa; Chordata; Mammalia; Carnivora; Otariidae
Exons: 5
Source: RefSeq, a predicted model, not a curated record
GCCAUGAUUGCCCAGCCGAAGUAUCUCUAACUUUCCUGCCAGCUCUAACAUCCUAUAUGAGUCUGUGUUUAUUAUCCCUGCUCUUAAAGCCUGUAACCUUAGCCAGGCUAAAUCUCCCUGUUUGGGAGAGUUAUUCCAGGACUGAGACUUGGGGUGCCCAGUGCCGAGAGCCCAGCUAGAGAUGUGGGCCGUGGAGACCCUGUGAAUCGCUGAAGCUUAGAGCCCGCUCCAGCCGGGUGCUGCUCUCCAAGGUGCUGCUGCCUUACGCGCCGUCUUGUACUUGUCCUGCGCAUUCACUCCUGAAGACCAGUGGCUUGGGAAGGUGGGCGGUUUAUUGUCCCCAUUAUCUCCUCCAGCCCAUCCUCAUUGGUCAGUAUGGAUAAUUGACAUUUUUCUCAGCCUCAAGUAAAUCGCUAUGCAAACAGACCUUCAAGCUCCCCUACUUUCCAACCAGAUCACCAGCCCUUGACCCUCCUCUCAAACUUCUGGAGCUGCCUCCCCAGUGAUAGAGGGCCAGACUCCAUGGGCACCAGGACUUGGGAAGGGGAGAACAGGAGAGUUCUUUUCUUCACCUCAGUCCUGCUGGGCUAACAUUUGUGAUUGUCACUAGCGUUCACUCUAAUGUAUCUCUGGCUCUAGAAUUUCAAGUUCUACUUAGUGACUCCUAUCUCAAGGUAGCUUCCCAGUGUGGUCAAGGAAGAGGUUUGAGCUUCAGAGCCCAGUUGCAAGGUUCUUCUCUGAGCUGAACAAUGGCUGUAGCUGUAGACCAACAAAUUCAGACUCCUCAAGUGCAAGAAGAACUUUGAAUCGUGAAGCUGGAAGAGGAUUCCCACUGGGAGCAGGAAAUUUCCCUUCAAGGGAGUGACCCUGGACCAGAGACCUCCUGCCAGCGUUUCUGGCAUUUCUGCUAUCAAGAAACAUCCAGACCCCAGGAGGCCCUCAUCCAACUCCGGAAGCUCUGUCAUCAGUGGCUGAGACCAGAGAAGUGUACAAAAGAGCAGAUCCUGGAGUUGCUCGUGCUGGAACAGUUCCUGACUGUCCUUCCUCAGGAGAUCCAGAUCUGGGUUAGAUAGAAGCAUCCAGAGAGUGGGAAGGAGGCCGUGGCUCUGGUGGAAGACUUGCAGAAAGAACCUGGAAGAUGGGGGCUCCAGUCCUUGAACGGGGGCAGGAGGUAUACUCAGAGGAGAAGGAAGCUCCAGGAUCAGCACUGGGUUCCCUGAGGAGCCGUCUGAAGCAAGCACGGACAGGACCCACGUGUCUGUUACCGGCGAUGGUGAAGAACUCACAGCCAGAACCAGAGCCGUUGACUCACAGCCCCAUGGUGGAACUCUGAUCCUUCCACAAGAGCGCCCUGCCUGAUCCUCCGGCUCUGGGUCUUUCCGUGGAGGAAAGCGGUGGUGACCAGGGGAUGAUGGGCCCCUCCCAGGAGUUGACGACAUUCGGUGAUGUGGCUAUGUAUAUCUCCCAGGAGGCACGGAGGCAGCCAGAACCUGGGGGGAGGAAACACGUGGAAAGAAGUUGGGAGAAAUCUGCAAAUGGGGCCUCGAUGGUGCCAGCUCCUGCAGGGAGCAGGAGAAAACCCCACAGAACCCAGAUCUUCAGCGCCCCAGAGAGGCGGAGAGCGCCAGGGACUCCGCAGCAGGUGGGGGAAGAGUCCAGCCUGGCCACUUGCCCGUCCCAAGAAAAGCCAAGACCUGGGAGGAGCUGGAGUGGCAGGGCCUGGAGGAUGAGAAGGCGGCAGCGGUGCACUAGGGCUUUGAGGAAACUAAGAUUUUUGGGGGGAAUUCUCAGUGAGUUCUGGAUCCGUGAGAAAUUGCGCACCUGCCACCGAGCCGCCAGGUGUACCGGCUGGUGGCUGAUCGGCUGCGCGAGAGCAGCUUCCCGCGGACCCUGGAACAGUGUUGCGACUGCUUCAGAAACCUCCAGACCCACUACCGCAGAGCCAGGAGCAGCCGGGCGCCGGGCACCUGCCCCUUCUACCAGGAGAUGGACGCCCUGAUGGGCCCCUGGACCCUUGCCGGCACCUUUGAUGCCUUAGAGGUGGCAGGAGGCCUUCUGCGGGACAGAGGGGACUCCGAA